Molecule: long non-coding RNA, 579 nt
Organism: Neoarius graeffei (lesser salmon catfish)
Lineage: Eukaryota; Metazoa; Chordata; Actinopteri; Siluriformes; Ariidae
Exons: 3
Source: RefSeq, a predicted model, not a curated record
CAGUCAUAUCACGCGUUGGAGAAAUUUCCCUCAACUAGUAUCCAUUUGAAACAACAACAAUGCAGAUGCAUUAUUCAAUCGAAAAACGAGUCGAAGUAGUUGUCUUGUUGGAGUGAAAACUUAGCGUUGGUGUGAAAACUUAGCGUUUAAAUCGAGCAUGUAGGCCUAGGUCGCAUGUCAUUUUGAGCUGACCUGUUCUUUUGUGUAGCCUCAUUAUUGUCUCAUUAUUGUCUUCAUGCUACAUUUUAUUCUGUCAGGUGUCUACCUUAGCCCUUUGUGGAGGAACCGACGUAGGGGUCACAGUGAGGCGGAUGCUGCGUAGCCUCCUGGUCAACAGCUUGGCCAGCCAAUUUAACUGGGCUGGAAAGGGGGGAAAAAACUGCGUUUAAGGACACCAAGAUCCCUGAUGUCCUGUUUGAUGCUCUACAAAAGCAGCUGCCAGGGAGCACACACGCUACUUUUAGUGACGCAAUCAAGAAGUGGCUUAAGUAUGCGCCAGAGAGAGAGGGAGGGAUGAGGAGACGUGAGGUGUCUGCGCUGCAGGAGGAAUAGGCCACAAUUAUAAAUUAUAAAUAAAUC